RNAcentral lists this ribosomal RNA (226 nucleotides) under uncultured bacterium. RNAcentral's name for it is "partial 16S ribosomal RNA". It matches the Rfam family "Bacterial small subunit ribosomal RNA", at positions 115 to 334 of the family's 1533-position model. The record is from RNAcentral.
CACUAGGUAACCUGCCCAUGUGUCCGGGAUAACUGCUGGAAACGGUAGCUAAAACCGGAUAGGUAUACAGAGCGCAUGCUCAGUAUAUUAAAGCGCCCAUCAAGGCGUGAACAUGGAUGGACCUGCGGCGCAUUAGCUAGUUGGUGAGGUAACGGCCCACCAAGGCGAUGAUGCGUAGCCGGCCUGAGAGGGUAAACGGCCACAUUGGGACUGAGACACGGCCCAA